AACUUGUUCGGGUAUCCUUCCCCAGUGUGGAAGCUUUAGUUCUUUUGCUCUUUGCAAUGAAUCUUGCUGCUGCUCACUCUUUGGGUCCACGCUGCGUUUACACUGUGUUUAUGAGCUGUAACACUCACCACAAAGGUCUGCAGCUUCACUCCUGAAGCCAGCAAAGACCACGAACCCACCAGGAAGAAGGAACAACUCCAGACACGCAGCCUUAAGAGCUGUAACACUCACUGCCAAGGUCUUCAGCUUCACUCCUGAGCCAGCCAGACCAUGAACCCACCAGAAGGAAAAAACUCGGAACACAUCCCAACAUCAGAAGGAACAAACUCUGGACAUGCCGCCUUUAAGAACUGUAACAACGCAAGGGUCCGCGGCUUUAUUCUUGAAAUGGAAAGGCAGCUCAACAUCUGAGAAGCCAGUCUUACUCCCUGCAGGCAACAGCUGCUUCCAGAAAACAGCCCUGUAAUUGUCACCAUCAAAUCCAUAUAUUUUCAAGAUUACUUCACCAAAGUACAGUUCCUACAGGAAGAUAAUGAUCUGACCUAACCUACUAUUGGCUGAAGGAAGGAGAAAAGCAGCUGAAGAUGUCUGUUGAGUGAUUACCCUCAUAAUCCGUGACUAAGAACAUCCAAAUCAGCAUGGCUUCUUCCUGUCUGAAAUUAUUACUACUUAGGGUUUUUCACGUGUUAUUUCAUUUAUUGAUUAUUCUGUUUUAAACUUGCAAGACGUAUUGUCUCUUCAGAAAUAAAACUUUAUCACUUGCUU
Molecule: long non-coding RNA, 765 nt
Filed under: Homo sapiens (human)
Lineage: Eukaryota; Metazoa; Chordata; Mammalia; Primates; Hominidae
Description: non-protein coding LINC01467:1
Source: RNAcentral